This 562-nucleotide long non-coding RNA is filed under the name Equus caballus (horse). Its description in RNAcentral is "lncRNA (ENSECAG00000055571.1)". The record is from RNAcentral. Lineage: Eukaryota; Metazoa; Chordata; Mammalia; Perissodactyla; Equidae.
GUGUUCUCAGAGUAGGAGGACUCGUCCACGGGAAAACAGACUCUCUUCUACUGUGUGUGGUCCUCCACUUGUCCCGGUCAGGCACAUUGUGGUCUGGAAAGGCAGAUGGGAAAUAAAUUAGGGGAACAGCAACUUUUCAGAGAAGGCCAGCGAAACUAGCGUGCUGUGUGCUUCAAACAUUCGUGUCGGCUGCCUGCAUGAAAGUCAAAGUCAUUCAAAGCGAAAGUAUCAUUAUCAGGGAAAAGUGCCCAUGAGCAUGGAGCCUGAGGGACAAGCUUCCUCCUAAUUUUUAAAGAACAUGAGACACAAGCAAGCAGAUUUUGUGUCUUAGGACUUGGCAAGGCUUGGCCCCUAGGAUUUACUUCAUCAUCAGGACAGCAGGGCAAGACUCAGCAGGCAGAGCCGAGAAGCUGAGCACCCAGCAGCGGAGGCCCAGAGCAGGGGCAGGGCCAGCGGCCACCCUCAAAGAAGCCGGUCGGAGGAGGCAAGACUCAGCCGCAGUCUAGAAAGAGAAAAGGCAAAGCUCCCGCUCAGAGCCUCCAGGACCCCAGGCUGUCCCCAG